Molecule: ribosomal RNA, 433 nt
Filed under: uncultured bacterium
Lineage: Bacteria
Description: partial 16S ribosomal RNA
Rfam family: Bacterial small subunit ribosomal RNA
Source: RNAcentral
AACGAACGCUGGCGGCAUGCCUAACACAUGCAAGUCGAACGAGACCUUCGGGUCUAGUGGCGCACGGGUGCGUAACGCGUGGGAACCUGCCCUUAGGUUCGGAAUAACUCCCCGAAAGGGGUGCUAAUACCGGAUAAUGUCUUCGGACCAAAGAUUUAUCGCCUUUGGAUGGGCCCGCGUUGGAUUAGCUAGUUGGUAGGGUAAAAGCCUACCAAGGCGACGAUCCAUAGCUGGUCUGAGGGGAUGAUCGGCCACACUGGGACUGAGACACGGCCCAGACUCCUACGGGAGGCAGCAGUGGGGAAUAUUGGACAAUGGGCGAAAGCCUGAUCCAGCAAUGCCGCGUGAGUGAUGAAGGCCUUAGGGUUGUAAAGCUCUUUUACCCGGGAUGAUAAUGACAGUACCGGGAGAAUAAGCUCCGGCUAACUCCGUG